GAAAUGCGAUAAGUAGUGUGAAUUGCAGAAUUCAGUGAAUCAUCGAAUCUUUGAACGCACAUUGCGCCCCUCGGUAUUCCGUGGGGCAUGCCUGUUCGAGCGUCAUUUCAACCCUCAGGGUCCCCGUUUCGGCGGGGAACCUGGUGUUGGGGAUCGGCCCGCCCCGCGCGGCGCCGUCCCCCAAAUCUAGUGGCGGUCUCGCUGCAGCCUCCCCUGCGUAGUAGUUUACAACCUCGCACCGGAGCGCGGCGCGGCCACGCCGUAAAACCCCCGACUUUCUGAACGUUGACCUCGGAUCAGGUAGGAAUACCCGCUGAACUUAAGC
RNAcentral lists this unclassified non-coding RNA (325 nucleotides) under plant metagenome. Its description in RNAcentral is "partial contains 5.8S ribosomal RNA, internal transcribed spacer 2, and large subunit ribosomal RNA". The stretch from base 1 to 105 matches the Rfam family "5.8S ribosomal RNA", at positions 50 to 154 of the family's 154-position model. The record is from RNAcentral.